AGUGAACGCUGGCGGCAGGCCUAACACAUGCAAGUCGAACGGCAGCACAGUAAGAGCUUGCUCUUACGGGUGGCGAGUGGCGGACGGGUGAGGAAUACAUCGGAAUCUACUUUUUCGUGGGGGAUAACGUAGGGAAACUUACGCUAAUACCGCAUACGACCUACGGGUGAAAGCAGGGGAUCUUCGGACCUUGCGCGAUUGAAUGAGCGGAUGUCGGAUUAGCUAGUUGGCGGGGUAAAGGCCCACCAAGGCGACGAUCCGUAGCUGGUCUGAGAGGAUGACCAGCCACACUGGAACUGAGACACGGUCCAGACUCCUACGGGAGGCAGCAGUGGGGAAUAUUGGACAAUGGGCGCAAGCCUGAUCCAGCCAUACCGCGUGCGUGAAGAAGGCCUUCGGGUUGUAAAGCGCUUUUGUUGGGAAAGAAAAGCAGCAGGUUAAUACCCCGCUGUGCUGACGGUACCCGAAGAAUAAGCACCGGCUAACUUCGUG
RNAcentral lists this ribosomal RNA (492 nucleotides) under uncultured bacterium. RNAcentral describes it as "partial 16S ribosomal RNA". It matches the Rfam family "Bacterial small subunit ribosomal RNA", at positions 29 to 507 of the family's 1533-position model. The record is from RNAcentral.